CUUCCUUUGCUCCCGUGAAGCUGGUUCUAUGGAAAGACAUUGGGUUAUCCCUCCCAGUUAAAAAUGUUGCUCCCUCCACUUAGAAGACUAAGGAAGAACCAGAGUGAAGGAAGCCCCAUGGGCAGGAAGAGGACUCAUUUGGGCUCAAGACAUUCAGUCCAACCUAGCUCACAAGGAUGGAUGAGAUCAUGAUUCGGGACCAUAACUUGUCACUUGUGCACAUACUCUAAACGGUGGCGUUUUUCAAGGAGUGGGCAUGUGGCCUAUUUCUGGCCCUAUGAAGCAAAAGGAGAGGUCUGCUGGGAGACUUCCUGAAACUGCUCUUCCUGGAAGGAGGGAAACAAACAAAACAACAACAAAAGAACUUUACAAGAGAAAGCUUUUUAUCCCAGCCCCUUCCUACUCCCAUUGAAUGCAGCUCUGUGAGGACACGAUAUUUGAAGCUGCAGUAGCUGAGGUGGCAAAAGAUGGCAGAACAGAAGAGCAGACAGAAUCUGGGUCCUAGAUGACUUCAUUGCACUGCUGCAACUGCCUUCUCCAGACCUCUUGCCAGAUCAAGCUGCAGAGGAAACAGCCACCUGGGGCGUGUUCUUACGUUGCCUGGAAGCUGCACAAGAGGCCAAGUCAAAACAUGCAGAAUUCCAGUUGCCCAUGAUGUCACAGGCUGAGGCCCACACUCCAGAGACACUGUGGACUGACUGGCACCUAUGAGCUGACCUAAUAACAGUUACACCAUUACAGCUCCGAUUCUACAGAACAAUACAUAUCCAGUUCUUAUCUAUGCUUUGCAUGUGCUCUUUGAAACACAACCCUUCCCUAAACAGAAUUCUCUACCUGUUACCAUAUCUAGAGUGUAGGGCUCAGGGAAGACAGUAAAGGACACAGACUCUGAGAAAUGAACAUGAACUAGGGCUUAGAUGAAUAAAUGGAGCUACAACAAUAGUUAUAUUUUAGUGCAACUUCUGAAAAUUAAACUAAAGGAUCCACGGGUGUGGAAGACACAAUACCAGGGUGUGAGUCAGGGGAUGAGUGCUCAAGAAUGUUCUGUGUUUCCCAAAUCCACUAUAUGAAUGGCACGACCACUUUCCCAGGCAACUCAGUCUAAAACACUAGUUAGUUCUAACUUCUCACCUCCACGCAGUCACUUCCUAAUCCCACCUCUACGGCCUCUUUUAUUAUGCCUCUCUUUUCCCCUCGCCUUCCCCUUGUCAAGCUUUCCUCCCUGCCACACUCUAGUUCCUCCUCAGCACCUCCAAGCCAGCUGAUUGCAACAGGCUCCUAACAGAGCUUCUGACCUCCAGAAUGAGCAACACAAGCCAAAAGAUCUAGGUCCAAUUCUCGUCCCAACACUCACUAAUUUGAUCAAUUUGUAUAAAAAAAUCAUUUAUCUCUCUGAGCCUAUUUUAUUUCUCUGUGAAACAGGAAAAUAAAAGAUACUUCAACCAGGCGCGGUGGCUCACACCGGUAAUCCCACCACUUUGGGACGCCGAGGCAGGCGGAUCACGAGGUCAGGAGAUCGAGACCAUCCUGGCAAACAUGGUGAAACGCCAUCUCUACUAAAAAUACAAUAAUUAGCUGGGUGUGGUGGCACGUGCCUGUAAUCCCAGCUACUCAGGAGGCUGAGGCAGGAGAAUCGCUUGAACCAGGUAGUCGGAGGUUGCAGUGAGCCAGAUUAUGCCACUGCACUCCAGCCUGGCAACACAGUGAGACUGUGACGAUGAAGAGACAACAGCUAUGAUAGCCCUUUGUCAGGCAUAGGACACUGUGCAAAUGAUGGUGAUGUUUUACUUGAUCAGCAUCCAUCUGAUACUCUGAAGCAUAAGUCAGAACAUGGCACUCUUUUCUGUAAAACUAUUCAAUGAUUCCCCCAUGACUGUAGAAUAAAGUCCAAAUUAUUUGCCAAGAUUCUUCACAAUCCAGUUCCAACUAUCUUCCCAGCUGCAUUUUUGCUCCUCACACUGUCUAACUCAACCAUCAAGAAUUAGCUCAAAAGGUACCUCUUCCAAAACCCAACCCUGACCUUUCCAACCAGAAAGAAUCUCUUUUUUUCCCCUCAAGUACUGGGGCCCUUUCUAUGAACUUUUCCUCCAGGGCAUUCAUUUGUCACUUUCUACUUCAGACUCAUCUAUUUAUAGCUACCGCUUAUUAAGGCCAUACUACAUAUCCCAAUGUUGUGCUAGACCCUUGCAUCUAUUUCUUCUGAACAAAAUAGCAACUCUCAAAAUAGCAAUGGAAUUAAUCCCAUUUAGUUGACAAAACUGAUGCUACCAAGUUGCAAGAGGAAAUUCAAGGACAAGGAUAAAUUUCAAAGCUCAUGUUUUUCUAUGAUGCCUGUUGUCUUCCAUGGCCUUGUUUAUGGUCCUUGACUUACGAUCUGAUUGGACUCUUGAAUCCUUUUUUAGUAGAUUCAGUCUGAUUUAUCUUUGGUAUCCCUCACAGACCCAGCACAGAACUAUGCAUAGAAGAUGCUCAAUGCUUGUUAAGCAAAUAAUUGGCUUCUUUUGACCUCUAUGGGUCUCAGGUCCUCAGCUAUAAAAUUGGUAGUAUCAAAGAGCUGGUCAUAUACUGUGUAGAGAUCGACUUAUUUGUAAAUGUUUCCAGAACACUUAUGUGCCAGGCACUGUUCUAAGCAUCUCAUCUAUCGAUCCUCAUAAAAAGCCUCCAAGAAGUAUGACUAUUAAGCCCAUUUUAUACUUUAGAAAACUAAGUUUUUAAGCAGGGUGGCAAAACUUGAACCCAGGCAGACUGUGUCCAGAACCCACAUUCUCAACCAAUAUGCACUACUGCCUACAUAAAUUUGGAGCCCAGGAAAAUCAACUGAAAAACCAUUAGAAAUGGCAAUAGACUCAAAACAUGGUUGGUACCAGAAUUAAUAUGUAAAAAUAAUAUAUAAUAUACAUAGCAAGUAUAUAUACACAUGUACUAUAUAUAUGCAUUACAUAUCCAUAUCUGUAUCUAUAUUAUCUAUAUUAUAAUGACUGCUUUCAUGUACAUGAUCACCAAUGAACUAAGGGAGUAAAAGAUCCCAGUCAAAAGGGAAAAAAAUAAGCAACUCAAAUAUCUAGAAAUAAAUUUCAGAAAUAUGCAGAAUAUACACACAUACUACAAAAUUCUACCAAAGGGUAAUUAAAAAGUCAUUAAUAAACAGAAAAAUAAUGCUUAGGUGGAAAGACUUGGUAAUAGAGCUCCCUUUCUCCAUAAUUAAUCUCUAUAUUUAACAUCUGAAUUUAAUUUACUUCGAGGGAGUGUCACAGUUCAACAACUAGGCACUUUAAUAUAAAUUGGUGCAAUCUUUGGAGGAAAUGUUGGGGUGUUGGGGCAGUAUCUAUAAAAAUUUUAUAAGUGCAUCCCCUUUGACAUAACGAUCCUACUUCUAGGAAUCUACUCUGCAGAAAUGCCAACACAUGCUACCAAAGAUGGAUAAGAAAUGUUGAGUGCUGUUUUGUAUGCAGUAGGAAGAAAAAGAGAAAGAGGGGCAGAGGAACAAAGGGAGAAAGGGAAGAAAGGAAGGAAGGAAGAAAAAGGAAAGAAGACAGAAAGAGAGAAGGAGAGAGUGAGGAAGAGGGUGGGAGGGUGGAAGGAAGAAAGGAAGAACUGCAGGCAAAUGAAAUGCCUAGCAAAGGGAACAGAUUUUUAGAGAAUCAUAAAAGGGUAUGCUGUGGAAAUGUUAAGAAGAGAAAGGUUUAAAUAUGUUGACAUAAAAGAAAUCUUAGCUAGGUUUGUGCUUUGGACUGAAUGUUUGUCCUCCUCCUGCCCAGCCAAAAUUCGUGUUAUAAAUCCUAAUCUCCAAUAUGAUGGUAUUUGGAGAUGGGGUCUUUGGAAGGUAAUCAGGUCAUAAGGGUGCAGACCUCAGUAAUGCAUGUUCUUUAUUAGUGUCCUUAUAAGAAAAGACAGGAGAGAUCACUUCUCUUCUCUGCUUUCUCACAUGUAAACCGGAAAGAGAGCCCUCACCAAAACUUGACCAUGCUGGCACCCUGAUCUGGAACUUCCAGCUUUCAGAAUUUUGAGAGAUAAAUGUGUCUGUUGUUUAAGCCACCUAGUCUUUGAGAAUGUGUUACAGCAGCUCAAGUAGACUAAGACCAGAAGGGAGAAAUGCAAACUAUAUCAGUGCAAAUUACAGAAAAAUGUACAGAGAUAUGACCAUUUUAUUUUUAAUGUGGAGUAUAAUUUAGUGAAGGAGAAAAGAAGGGUAUGGGGAUGGCAAUUUCCUGUUUUGAUAUCUACACUUCUGCAAAGAUCAUUACUUUUAUAAUCAUAAUUAAGCAUUUGAUUCAACACUGAGUCUUGUGUUAGACACUGGGAAGGUGAACAUGACAGUCAGGGCACCUGUUAAGUCCAUUUUUAAAUUUGUGAUUUAAGUUGCUAUAGCUAUAAUAAAUUAAAUG
Molecule: long non-coding RNA, 4385 nt
Filed under: Homo sapiens (human)
Lineage: Eukaryota; Metazoa; Chordata; Mammalia; Primates; Hominidae
Description: HSALNT0153200
Source: RNAcentral